Molecule: small nuclear RNA, 107 nt
Filed under: Nannospalax galili (Upper Galilee mountains blind mole rat)
Lineage: Eukaryota; Metazoa; Chordata; Mammalia; Rodentia; Spalacidae
Source: RNAcentral
GUGCUUUCUUCAGCAGCACAUAUACUAAAAUUGGAACUAUACAGAGGAGAUUAGCAUGGCCCCUGCAUAAGGAUGACAAGCAAAUUCAAGAAGCAUUCCAUAUUUUU